AAUCAACGCUGGCGGCGUGCCUAACACAUGCAAGUCGAACGCGACUGGGGGCUUCGGCCUCAGUUGAGUGGCGAACGGGUGAGUAACACGUGGGUGACCUACCUUCGAAUGGGGGAUAACGUCCCGAAAGGGACGCUAAUACCGCAUAACAUCCUGCCUUUGAACAGGCGGAGAUCAAAGCCGGGGAUCGCAAGACCUGGCGUUUGAAGAGGGGCCUGCGUCCGAUUAGCUAGUUGGUGAGGUAACGGCUCACCAAGCGACGAUCGGUAGCCGGCCUGAGAGGGCGGGACGGCCACACUGGGACUGAGACACGGCCCAGACUCCUACGGGAGGCAGCAGUGGGGAAUUGUUCGCAAUGGGCGCAAGCCUGACGACGCAACGCCGCGUGGAGGAUGAAGGUCUCGGAUUGUAAACUCCUGUUG
Molecule: ribosomal RNA, 422 nt
Filed under: uncultured bacterium
Lineage: Bacteria
Description: bacterial SSU rRNA
Rfam family: Bacterial small subunit ribosomal RNA
Source: RNAcentral